Molecule: ribosomal RNA, 450 nt
Filed under: uncultured bacterium
Lineage: Bacteria
Description: partial 16S ribosomal RNA
Rfam family: Bacterial small subunit ribosomal RNA
Source: RNAcentral
GUGGGGAAUUUUGGACAAUGGUCGAAAGCCUGAUCCAGCCAUGCCGCGUGUGUGAAGAAGGUCUUCGGAUUGUAAAGCACUUUAAGUUGGGAGGAAGGGCAGUAAGUUAAUACCUUGCUGUUUUGACGUUACCGACAGAAUAAGCACCGGCUAACUUCGUGCCAGCAGCCGCGGUAAUACGAAGGGUGCAAGCGUUAAUCGGAAUUACUGGGCGUAAAGCGCGCGUAGGUGGUUUUGUAAGUUGGAGGUGAAAUCCCCGGGCUCAACCUGGGAACUGCCUCCAAAACUGCAUGACUAGAGUACGGUAGAGGGUAGUGGAAUUUCCUGUGUAGCGGUGAAAUGCGUAGAUAUAGGAAGGAACACCAGUGGCGAAGGCGACUACCUGGACUGAUACUGACACUGAGGUGCGAAAGCGUGGGGAGCAAACAGGAUUAGAUACCCUUGUAGUCC